This is a long non-coding RNA of Patiria miniata (bat star), 2389 nucleotides long. RefSeq lists it as uncharacterized. NCBI's taxonomy places the organism in Eukaryota, Metazoa, Echinodermata, Asteroidea, Valvatida, Asterinidae. The record is from RefSeq and is a predicted model, not a curated record. The transcript is spliced from 2 exons.
CAAGCGCAAUGCACCCGUUAGAGACUCAAUCGCGGAAGACGACAGUCGUCUGUUUCUAGACUCCCUUCUCAUCAAAAUGGGCACCAGUGCGGAAGAGCUAACCCGUGUGGUCCAAAAAAUUGAAAUGGGCGGACAAAACAUUCAGCCAUGAUUACACUUCUUGUGAAGGUUUGGGUUGGGAGACUCUCGGCAGCUGAUGAUGAAACUGCAUCUGUGUCGCUUUCUCCUUCUUCUCCCCCUUCAGGAGGUAAGGAGGACAGAGUCAGCGCGGCUGACAUCACAGGGGACUACUCCAGGUGUCAGUGUGUCCUCUUCGUAUUCUGUUCAUUAAAUGCUUUCGUUGAACCAGAUGGACAGGAGUUAAAUAUUCACUUCAACCAGGGAGGCCUUAGGCUUUGGGACCUCAGAUAAACUAGAAAUUAUCUCAUUUGUUGGUCCAUCCUUGCUUACCCUUUAGGCAUUUUUGUUUCGUACUGUCAUUUCUUUAUAAAUUCUACCCACAACUGUGACAUAUAACUUGAAUAAAAUAAAAUUAAAUUGUACACAAUGUACCAGUAUCUAUAUAUUUUUUAAUGAAUCCUUUCAUAUAUUCAAAGUAAAUGUUUAUUGACCCAAAAUCUACAAGUUUAAAUUGUAAAUUAUGUAGUUUUCUCUCUGCGGUGGAAUAAUUUGUGAGAUAUUUGUGUAGAUGGUGUAGUGAACAACUCACAAACGAAUAGCACAGACUAGCAGAGUUGGGUCAUGUCAAAGCAUUCAUGCCCGUCACAUUAGUGAUGAAGGGAUGACUGUUUUGUUUGAGGUUAUAGGCAAAGCAAUGGAAAAUUCAUAACACUCAACUUUGGCAGAAUUUUUUAGAUUUUGGAUUCAAAACAUAAAACCUUGCAAGGAUUGAAUGCUGUCAGUGUUUCUACUUGUGCAAGCGUUUCUACUGUGCAAGCGUUUAAGGACUCUAUCAUGACAUUAUGAAUUUGAGAUUCCAAAAAGAUUACAACUAUGCAGUUUUGUAUUUUUAUUCAACCAAAAUGUCGUGGCUUGAAAGAUGAUUCUCUCAAUUAAGGUUUGAAAUUUAUUGAAUUGGAAUUUUUGGAUUUGUACAUGAUCCUCUGUUUGACUCAUGCACUUUGUCUUUUGACGUUAACUUUCCCCUGGGCACUUUGUGCACUUAAGUCCCUUGCGCUCCCCUCCUUGCCCCAUGCCCCUUUCCCCCUGCCCCCCCCCCCCCUGACCUCCCAUUCCCCUUCCCCCCUCCCUGACCUCCCUGCCCCCUGCCCCCUUUACCCCUCCCCCUGAUCCCCUGACCCCUCCCCCCUUGUAUUUGAAUGCCUGUGUGCAAUCUGUAAUUCUCAUUUGGCUCAGUAGCUUCCAAUGUUAUUCCAAGGACAGUUAUGAAAAUAGGUUCUUUUUAGUAAAACACGCAUAAUUUCAGUAUUUUUUUUUUCAGAUGAGUGAAGAACAUGCUAUUUUAAGACAUACUUCAUUGGUGUAUAAAAUUUGAUUGCGUUUUAACAAAAAAAAUAUAUCAUUAAUCCAGGUCACUCACCCUAUAUUGUACCCUUCAUUUUUCGAAUCUUGCCCGACCCAAUGCUGCAUACCGGGCUUCAUGUACAUCCAUCAUGUACAUGUACAAUCACCAUGUACAUUCAUCGUACGCAAACGUAACUUCAACAAAUUCGCGGAGAAAAGGCAAUACUACUGUGCACAAACGAAAAGAUUUGUAUCUUCAAACUGACUGUCAGCUUGUGAUAUUUUUAGACAUGUUUUAUUUUCUCUCAUACAAAGCUUUCAACAUUUCCAUCCAACACUGAAAAGCCCGCAGAAGAAAAACAAUUGAUGAAAAAAUAUAUCCCCCCCCCCCUCCGUUUGUUAUCUGCAGCGGGACCUUUUUUAAGACGUAAUACAAAUAUCGGACUGGUCUAGAUUGAAUAGGAUGAGGCCAACCUCAGAUUUAUGAGCCAAAUUCUUUUGGUUUUUCCUCUUCGUAUCCAACCUUCACUUGUCCAUUAAUCAACUCCCCAUGGUAUCUGCCUAAGCCCCUCUGUCAACACAAAAUGUCCAUAUCGCCACUUAAGACGGACAUGGUAUUAUGCGGAUUUCUCCCCUGUUUUUGAUUUGUUUGGGUGUUUAAAAUGCACGUAUUUCCUCUGUCUGAUGCAGCUUAGACAAUUCCCUCAAUGGGAACCUGCACGUGUACCCAGCGUUCAUCCCAUUGUGGGUUUUUCUUAUAUGAUGAAUUCAUACAUAUACAUUGCUGUUACGGAGGAAAUGUUUUCCUAUGGGAGUGCUUGUUAAUACAAAAGUCACCACUUUGCAAUUGUAUUUAGUUGUUUCCCGGUUGUGAUGGAUUGCAAAGAAUAAUAAAUUGCCCUAUUACAAUUUGGGGGAAAAAAUC